Molecule: ribosomal RNA, 513 nt
Filed under: uncultured fungus
Lineage: Eukaryota; Fungi
Description: eukaryotic LSU rRNA
Rfam family: 5.8S ribosomal RNA (bases 167-320)
Source: RNAcentral
ACCGAGAGUGGAGCCUGGCUCCGGGGGGCCAACCGCCCCCACCUCUUCACCCAUGUAGAUAUUUCUGCGUUGCUUUGGCGCGCCUCCGGGACCUCCGGGGGCCCCUGUCAAAGACCCAAUCAAUUGCCGUGUAUAAGUGUAAUCGGAGUAGAACCACAAUCGUUAAAACUUUCAACAACGGAUCUCUUGGCUCUGGCAUCGAUGAAGAACGCAGCGAAAUGCGAUAAGUAAUGUGAAUUGCAGAAUUCAGUGAAUCAUCGAAUCUUUGAACGCACAUUGCGCCCCUUGGUAUUCCGAGGGGCAUACCUGUUCGAGCGUCAUUGCUCACCUCAAGCCUGGCUUGGUCUUGGGCGUGCGUCCCGCGGGACGGGCCCGAAAAACAGUGGCGGUGCGGCCGUGACCGCGAGCGUGGUAGCUAAUCGUUCGCUCCGCGCGUGACGCCGUGCCCGCCAGCCAACCUGUGAUUUCUCACCGGUUGACCUCGGAUCAGGUAGGGAUACCCGCUGAACUUAA